Molecule: ribosomal RNA, 456 nt
Filed under: uncultured Eubacteriales bacterium
Lineage: Bacteria; Bacillati; Bacillota; Clostridia; Eubacteriales
Description: bacterial SSU rRNA
Rfam family: Bacterial small subunit ribosomal RNA
Source: RNAcentral
ACAAGCAGCGGAGCAUGUGGUUUAAUUCGAAGCAACGCGAAGAACCUUACCAGGGCUUGACAUCCCUCUGACCGGCGUGUAACGGCGCCUUCCCUUCGGGGCAGAGGAGACAGGUGGUGCAUGGUUGUCGUCAGCUCGUGUCGUGAGAUGUUGGGUUAAGUCCCGCAACGAGCGCAACCCUUGUCAUUAGUUGCCAGCAGGUAAAGCUGGGCACUCUAGUGAGACUGCCGGGGACAACUCGGAGGAAGGUGGGAUGACGUCAAAUCAUCAUGCCCCUUAUGUUCUGGGCUACACACGUGCUACAAUGGCCGGUACAGAGAGACGCAAUGUCGUGAGGCGGAGCAAAACUCCAAAACCGGUCCCAGUUCGGAUUGCAGGCUGCAACUCGCCUGCAUGAAGUCGGAGUUGCUAGUAAUCGCGAAUCAGAAUGUCGCGGUGAAUGCGUUCCCGGGUCUU